Molecule: ribosomal RNA, 110 nt
Filed under: Escherichia coli
Lineage: Bacteria; Pseudomonadati; Pseudomonadota; Gammaproteobacteria; Enterobacterales; Enterobacteriaceae
Also listed under: 1 other name
Source: RNAcentral
GGCGGCCUUAGCGCGGUGGUCCCACCUGACCCCAUGCCGAACUCAGAAGUGAAACGCCGUAGCGCCGAUGGUAGUGUGGGGUCUCCCCAUGCGAGAGUAGGGAACUGCCA